AUACGGAGGGUGCGAGCGUUAAUCGGAAUUACUGGGCGUAAAGCGCGCGUAGGCGGUUAGAUAAGUCUGAUGUGAAAGCCCUGGGCUUAACCUGGGAAUGGCAUUGGAUACUGUUUGACUAGAGUGCAGGAGAGGAGAGUGGAAUUCUCGGUGUAGCGGUGAAAUGCGUAGAUAUCGGGAGGAACACCAGUGGCGAAGGCGGCUCUCUGGACUGACACUGACGCUGAGGUGCGAAAGCGCGGGUAGCAAACAGGAUUAGAUACCCCUGUAGUCC
This 274-nucleotide ribosomal RNA is filed under the name uncultured bacterium. RNAcentral's name for it is "partial 16S ribosomal RNA". It matches the Rfam family "Bacterial small subunit ribosomal RNA", at positions 523 to 796 of the family's 1533-position model. The record is from RNAcentral.